GGCAAGAUGGCCGAGCGGUCUAAGGCGUACGCUUCAGGUGCGUAUGGGUAACACCGCGUGGGUUCGAAUCCCACUCUUGUCA
This 82-nucleotide transfer RNA is filed under the name Exophiala dermatitidis. Its description in RNAcentral is "tRNA-Leu". It matches the Rfam family "tRNA". From Rfam's summary of the family: Transfer RNA (tRNA) molecules are approximately 80 nucleotides in length. RNAcentral also lists the same sequence under 1 other name. Lineage: Eukaryota; Fungi; Ascomycota; Eurotiomycetes; Chaetothyriales; Herpotrichiellaceae. The record is from RNAcentral.